GAUGAACGCUGGCGGCGUGUCUAAGGCAUGCAAGUCGAAUGGGUUUAGACCCAUGGCAAACGGGAGAGUAACACAUUGGUAACCUGCCCUCAACUGGAGGAUAACUCGCUGAAAGGUGAGAUAAUACUCCAUUAACUAGUAAAUCACAUGUUUUAUUAGUAAAGAUUUAUCGGUUGAGGAGGGGCCUAUGGUCUAUCAGCUUGUUGGUAAGGUAAUGGCUUACCAAGGCUCUGACGGAUAGCGGGUGUGAGAGCACGACCCGUCUCACUGGGACUGAGAUACUGCCCAGACACCUACGGGUGGCUGCAGUCAAGAAUAUUCCUCAAUGGGCGAAAGCCUGAAGGAGCGACGCCGCGUGACUGAUGAAGUCCCUCGGGAUGUAAAGGUCUUUUCUUAAGGAAGAAACAAUGACGGU
Molecule: ribosomal RNA, 415 nt
Filed under: uncultured Parcubacteria group bacterium
Lineage: Bacteria
Description: bacterial SSU rRNA
Rfam family: Bacterial small subunit ribosomal RNA
Source: RNAcentral